RNAcentral lists this ribosomal RNA (2899 nucleotides) under Escherichia coli. Its description in RNAcentral is "bacterial LSU rRNA". It matches the Rfam family "Bacterial large subunit ribosomal RNA". The record is from RNAcentral. Lineage: Bacteria; Pseudomonadati; Pseudomonadota; Gammaproteobacteria; Enterobacterales; Enterobacteriaceae.
UUAAGCGACUAAGCGUACACGGUGGAUGCCCUGGCAGUCAGAGGCGAUGAAGGACGUGCUAAUCUGCGAUAAGCGUCGGUAAGGUGAUAUGAACCGUUAUAACCGGCGAUUUCCGAAUGGGGAAACCCAGUGUGUUUCGACACACUAUCAUUAACUGAAUCCAUAGGUUAAUGAGGCGAACCGGGGGAACUGAAACAUCUAAGUACCCCGAGGAAAAGAAAUCAACCGAGAUUCCCCCAGUAGCGGCGAGCGAACGGGGAGCAGCCCAGAGCCUGAAUCAGUGUGUGUGUUAGUGGAAGCGUCUGGAAAGGCGCGCGAUACAGGGUGACAGCCCCGUACACAAAAAUGCACAUAUUGUGAGCUCGAUGAGUAGGGCGGGACACGUGGUAUCCUGUCUGAAUAUGGGGGACCAUCCUCCAAGGCUAAAUACUCCUGACUGACCGAUAGUGAACCAGUACCGUGAGGGAAAGGCGAAAAGAACCCCGGCGAGGGGAGUGAAAAAGAACCUGAAACCGUGUACGUACAAGCAGUGGGAGCCUCUUUUAUGGGGUGACUGCGUACCUUUUGUAUAAUGGGUCAGCGACUUAUAUUCUGUAGCAAGGUUAACCGAAUAGGGGAGCCGAAGGGAAACCGAGUCUUAACUGGGCGUUAAGUUGCAGGGUAUAGACCCGAAACCCGGUGAUCUAGCCAUGGGCAGGUUGAAGGUUGGGUAACACUAACUGGAGGACCGAACCGACUAAUGUUGAAAAAUUAGCGGAUGACUUGUGGCUGGGGGUGAAAGGCCAAUCAAACCGGGAGAUAGCUGGUUCUCCCCGAAAGCUAUUUAGGUAGCGCCUCGUGAAUUCAUCUCCGGGGGUAGAGCACUGUUUCGGCAAGGGGGUCAUCCCGACUUACCAACCCGAUGCAAACUGCGAAUACCGGAGAAUGUUAUCACGGGAGACACACGGCGGGUGCUAACGUCCGUCGUGAAGAGGGAAACAACCCAGACCGCCAGCUAAGGUCCCAAAGUCAUGGUUAAGUGGGAAACGAUGUGGGAAGGCCCAGACAGCCAGGAUGUUGGCUUAGAAGCAGCCAUCAUUUAAAGAAAGCGUAAUAGCUCACUGGUCGAGUCGGCCUGCGCGGAAGAUGUAACGGGGCUAAACCAUGCACCGAAGCUGCGGCAGCGACACUAUGUGUUGUUGGGUAGGGGAGCGUUCUGUAAGCCUGUGAAGGUGUGCUGUGAGGCAUGCUGGAGGUAUCAGAAGUGCGAAUGCUGACAUAAGUAACGAUAAAGCGGGUGAAAAGCCCGCUCGCCGGAAGACCAAGGUUCCUGUCCAACGUUAAUCGGGGCAGGGUGAGUCGACCCCUAAGGCGAGGCCGAAAGGCGUAGUCGAUGGGAAACAGGUUAAUAUUCCUGUACUUGGUGUUACUGCGAAGGGGGGACGGAGAAGGCUAUGUUGGCCGGGCGACGGUUGUCCCGGUUUAAGCGUGUAGGCUGGUUUUCCAGGCAAAUCCGGAAAAUCAAGGCUGAGGCGUGAUGACGAGGCACUACGGUGCUGAAGCAACAAAUGCCCUGCUUCCAGGAAAAGCCUCUAAGCAUCAGGUAACAUCAAAUCGUACCCCAAACCGACACAGGUGGUCAGGUAGAGAAUACCAAGGCGCUUGAGAGAACUCGGGUGAAGGAACUAGGCAAAAUGGUGCCGUAACUUCGGGAGAAGGCACGCUGAUAUGUAGGUGAAGUCCCUCGCGGAUGGAGCUGAAAUCAGUCGAAGAUACCAGCUGGCUGCAACUGUUUAUUAAAAACACAGCACUGUGCAAACACGAAAGUGGACGUAUACGGUGUGACGCCUGCCCGGUGCCGGAAGGUUAAUUGAUGGGGUCAGCGCAAGCGAAGCUCUUGAUCGAAGCCCCGGUAAACGGCGGCCGUAACUAUAACGGUCCUAAGGUAGCGAAAUUCCUUGUCGGGUAAGUUCCGACCUGCACGAAUGGCGUAAUGAUGGCCAGGCUGUCUCCACCCGAGACUCAGUGAAAUUGAACUCGCUGUGAAGAUGCAGUGUACCCGCGGCAAGACGGAAAGACCCCGUGAACCUUUACUAUAGCUUGACACUGAACAUUGAGCCUUGAUGUGUAGGAUAGGUGGGAGGCUUAGAAGUGUGGACGCCAGUCUGCAUGGAGCCGACCUUGAAAUACCACCCUUUAAUGUUUGAUGUUCUAACGUUGACCCGUGAUCCGGGUUGCGGACAGUGUCUGGUGGGUAGUUUGACUGGGGCGGUCUCCUCCUAAAGAGUAACGGAGGAGCACGAAGGUUGGCUAAUCCUGGUCGGACAUCAGGAGGUUAGUGCAAUGGCAUAAGCCAGCUUGACUGCGAGCGUGACGGCGCGAGCAGGUGCGAAAGCAGGUCAUAGUGAUCCGGUGGUUCUGAAUGGAAGGGCCAUCGCUCAACGGAUAAAAGGUACUCCGGGGAUAACAGGCUGAUACCGCCCAAGAGUUCAUAUCGACGGCGGUGUUUGGCACCUCGAUGUCGGCUCAUCACAUCCUGGGGCUGAAGUAGGUCCCAAGGGUAUGGCUGUUCGCCAUUUAAAGUGGUACGCGAGCUGGGUUUAGAACGUCGUGAGACAGUUCGGUCCCUAUCUGCCGUGGGCGCUGGAGAACUGAGGGGGGCUGCUCCUAGUACGAGAGGACCGGAGUGGACGCAUCACUGGUGUUCGGGUUGUCAUGCCAAUGGCACUGCCCGGUAGCUAAAUGCGGAAGAGAUAAGUGCUGAAAGCAUCUAAGCACGAAACUUGCCCCGAGAUGAGUUCUCCCUGACCCUUUAAGGGUCCUGAAGGAACGUUGAAGACGACGACGUUGAUAGGCCGGGUGUGUAAGCGCAGCGAUGCGUUGAGCUAACCGGUACUAAUGAACCGUGAGGCUUAACCUU